Molecule: ribosomal RNA, 518 nt
Filed under: Pasteurella bettyae
Lineage: Bacteria; Pseudomonadati; Pseudomonadota; Gammaproteobacteria; Pasteurellales; Pasteurellaceae
Description: bacterial SSU rRNA
Rfam family: Bacterial small subunit ribosomal RNA
Source: RNAcentral
GCUGGCGGCAGGCUUAACACAUGCAAGUCGAACGGUAGCACAGGGGAGCUUGCUCCCUGGGUGACGAGUGGCGGACGGGUGAGUAAUGCUUGGGAAUUUGGCUUNUGGAGGGGGAUAACUACGGGAAACUGUAGCUAAUACCGCGUAAUGUCUACGGACUAAAGGGUGGGACUAUUUGGCCACCUGCCAUGAGAUGAGCCCAAGUGGGAUUAGGUAGUUGGUGGGGUAAAGGCCUACCAAGCCGACGAUCUCUAGCUGGUCUGAGAGGAUGACCAGCCACACUGGAACUGAGACACGGUCCAGACUCCUACGGGAGGCAGCAGUGGGGAAUAUUGCACAAUGGGGGGAACCCUGAUGCAGCCAUGCCGCGUGAAUGAAGAAGGCCUUCGGGUUGUAAAGUUCUUUCGGUGAUGAGGAAGGCAGGUAUUUUAAUAGAAUACUUGAUUGACGUUAAUCACAGAAGAAGCACCGGCUAACUCCGUGCCAGCAGCCGCGGUAAUACGGAGGGUGCGAGCGUU